AAAUCUCAACCUCCUUGGUUUCUUCUGGAGACCAAAGGAGGCUUGGACUUUGGAGGCCUUUGCUGGCAUCUCUCUAUUUUGAAGGCCAGCUCCUCUUGAAUGAAUUAGCGGGGUCCUCUUUGCCGAUCCUCGACAUGUGAUAAGAUGUUUCCGUGUCUUGGUUUCCGGCUCUGUUGCUUUUGGGCCCCGCUUCUAAUCGUCUCACCCCGAGACAAUGUUCGAGCCUGUCUCCCUUCUCGGGAAACCCUCUUGACCCCACGAAC
This 263-nucleotide unclassified non-coding RNA is filed under the name uncultured Lactarius. RNAcentral describes it as "sequence contains ITS2". The record is from RNAcentral. Lineage: Eukaryota; Fungi; Basidiomycota; Agaricomycetes; Russulales; Russulaceae.